Molecule: long non-coding RNA, 283 nt
Filed under: Salvator merianae (Argentine black and white tegu)
Lineage: Eukaryota; Metazoa; Chordata; Lepidosauria; Squamata; Teiidae
Description: lncRNA (ENSSMRG00000005336.1)
Source: RNAcentral
CUCAUAUUUUCCCCAAGCUUCUUCCUGCUGUGAGCAAACUUUUUGACACCCUCAGUCUCAAGCAGCCUGAGAUUUUUCCUGGGUUUAAAUCUCAGAGACCUCAUCAGGGUGUUGGGAUUUCACGUGACUCUGAAGCUUCUGCCUGAUCCUGUUUCAUUAGAAACAGGAAAUGGACCCAGAAAUGGACCAUAUUGUGCACAACCUGAAAUAGGGCCCAGCAGAAACCACGCCAGGUAAGUUGCUCCUGGGGCCACUGUCUCUUUACGUGACGGUGUCAGGAUAG